GACGAACGCUGGCGGCGUGCUUAACACAUGCAAGUCGAACGGUAAGGCCCUUCGGGGUACACGAGUGGCGAACGGGUGAGUAACACGUGGGUGAUCUGCCCUGCACUUCGGGAUAAGCCUGGGAAACUGGGUCUAAUACCGGAUAGGACCAUGGACUUCACGGUUUGUGGUGGAAAGCUUUUGCGGUGUGGGAUGGGCCCGCGGCCUAUCAGCUUGUUGGUGGGGUAAUGGCCUACCAAGGCGACGACGGGUAGCCGGCCUGAGAGGGUGUCCGGCCACACUGGGACUGAGAUACGGCCCAGACUCCUACGGGAGGCAGCAGUGGGGAAUAUUGCACAAUGGGCGCAAGCCUGAUGCAGCGACGCCGCGUGAGGGAUGACGGCCUUCGGUUGUAACUCUUUCAAUAGGACGAAGCGCAA
Molecule: ribosomal RNA, 419 nt
Filed under: uncultured bacterium
Lineage: Bacteria
Description: bacterial SSU rRNA
Rfam family: Bacterial small subunit ribosomal RNA
Source: RNAcentral